GGGUUGCAGUCAUAGUGCUUGUAGGCUUCUGCACGUGUGCUCACUGUGUUUCAGAGCAAAUGCCAACACAAUGUGCCCAACAGAUUGUACCCUAACAAAUCUUCCACUCCAAUAAACGUACCUAAGUUGCAAUGCUACCUGUCUAAUAAUCCUUCUGUUCAUUUUGUGGAAUUUCUCACGGCUGGUUUCACUAAUGGGUUUCACACAGGGCUCGUGUCAUUCGCCAAAGGUUUUUUGGAAAGCCCCAACUUACAGUUGGCACUCACUGAUCCAGACAGCAUACAAGAACUCUUAGAGAAAGAAAUCACCAAUGGUUUCAUGAUAGGUCCUUACUCUACUCCUCCUUUCACUUCCUAGAGGACAAACCCUC
Molecule: non-coding RNA, 370 nt
Organism: Pelobates cultripes (western spadefoot toad)
Lineage: Eukaryota; Metazoa; Chordata; Amphibia; Anura; Pelobatidae
Source: the annotation of a GenBank genome assembly